CGCUGUUGUACACUUGAAUAAUCUCAUGCGGAUCGCGACAUGAUGAUAUACUUCUGAACUUCUCAUGAGGGAUUUCUGUGAUUAGGUUAUUACGAGCGUAUAAGUCUUUGUACUUUGUCACGUUGCGUGCAGUGAUAUGUGUUGGUUCAUGGCAGAUCUAUGUUAAAUCAACUUCAGGCCGUUCAGUGAUAAGUGUUGGUUCAUGACAGAUCUAUGUUACAUCAACUUCAGGCCGAAUAUUGACAUAGCUUAUUGCGAUGACCUGCCCAAAGUUGAAACGAAGCAACAGCAUGAUUAUUCGACCUCUCUUCCACACGCUGAAAGAGAAUAUUUUAAGGCACAGAUCAGGAGAGAAGAAUGGUCGUGAAGCUCCUCUCCCAGCAGCUGCCUUUAAGAGAGAGAAGAUGAAGUUGGUUGCUCAGGACAUGAGGAUGUGAACGAGAUGGAUUCGACCUCUCAAGGUUUGGAAGUCGCCUGGAUGGUCUCAGUCAACCAAUAUGGAAAAAGGCUCAUGGACAUUGCGGAUCGUAUCCCUUAAAGGCAUUCAUAUGCGCUGUAGCCUACCCAUCUAUGGAGAACCAUCUUUGCAACUUCAUUCUCCCUGGACUGCUUUGAAAUGUUUGACAUGCGCAGCCUAUUUCAGUGAAUGGGUGACUUUCACAAAAUGGACACUGUCUGCCACCUGUUUUUAAUUGUAUUGUAUAUGUAGCCUACAGUCAAUUAUAUGCUGUGUAACUCAUGUAUGGAAAGUGUGUGUGUGUGUGUUUGCGCUAAAGUAGCCUAUCUUUGGUCAAUUCAGGUGUUUCAGAGUUCAACUAGAUUCAUCAAAAUACCCUAUACAGCCUCAUUCACUCCCACACUCAAAAUGAAAUAGCAAAAAUGUGACUGUGUUCCUUCAGCGCCACAUUUUCUUUUGUUAAUAUGUUUGAUCUGAAACCAAAUAAAGCAUACACCAAGAGUA
Long non-coding RNA from Sardina pilchardus (European sardine), 961 nucleotides. RefSeq lists it as uncharacterized. The record is from RefSeq and is a predicted model, not a curated record. The transcript has 2 exons. NCBI's taxonomy places the organism in Eukaryota, Metazoa, Chordata, Actinopteri, Clupeiformes, Clupeidae.